CCUGAUCCUCUGCAAUUGCUGUCACAGAUGCAUUCCUGGAGCAAGCUGUGUCAUAUCAACAGUUUGUGGACAACCCCGCUAUUAUCGAUGACCCCAAUCUCGUGGUAAAGAUUGGGAGUAAAUAUUAUAACUGGACAACAGCAGCACCCCUCCUCCUGGCAAUGCAGGCCUUCCAGAAACCUUUGCCAAAGGCCACUGUGGAAUCUAUCAUGAGGGAUAAAAUGCCCAAAAAGGGAGGAAGAUGGUGGUUUUCAUGGAGAGGAAGAAACACCACAAUCAAGGAGGUAAGCCCAGAAGACAAAGCAGUGCUCACACUUAGCAAGUUUUGGUUUUGUGUAGUGAGAUUGGUUUUCAUGUACUUACAUCAGAGAAAUGAACAUAGGCCCUAGUGCUGAGUUUCCAUGAGCCAGCUCUGCCAUGAAGUAGGGCGAGUGCUCGUGGAAUGUGGGGAAGGUGGGGAGGAAGGUCAGGAGCCAGCAGCAUAGGCGUCACCUCCUGGCUCUGUAACCAUUGGGAGACUGUGGUCCAGUCACUCCCUCAUGGUAAGAUUUCGUCAUCUAUAAAAGAAGGGAUUCAGCCUGGGAAUUCAGUUUCUUAAGAAAUUAAAUAUCUUCCUUCUGCUUGUGG
Molecule: small RNA, 627 nt
Filed under: Pan troglodytes (chimpanzee)
Lineage: Eukaryota; Metazoa; Chordata; Mammalia; Primates; Hominidae
Description: retained intron
Source: RNAcentral